GCAAGUCGAACGCAGUAGCAAUACUGAGUGGCAAACGGGUGAGUAUAAUGUGGGUAUCUGCCUUUUGGUUUGGAAUAACAUGAGGAAACUUGUGCUAAUACCGAAUAAGCCUUCACAGGGAAAGUUUUAACGCCGAAAGAUGAGCCCGCACUUGAUUAGUUUGUUGGUGAGGUAAUGGCUCACCAAGACAAUUAUCAAUAGCUGGUCUGAGAGGACGAUCAGCCACAUUGGGACUGAGACACGGCCCAGACUCCUACGGCAGGCAGCAGUAAGGAACCUUGCACAAUGGGGGAAACCCUGAUGCAGCGAUGCCGCGUGAGUGAAGAAGGCCCUUGGGUUGUAAAACUCUUUCGUCGGGGAAGAAAAUGACUGUACCCGAAUAAGAAGGUCCGGCUAACUUCGUGCCAGCAGCCGCGGUAAUACGAAGGGACCUAGCGUAGUUCGGAAUUACUGGGCUUAAAGAGCUCGUAGGUGGUUAAAAUAGUUGAUGGUGAAAUCCCAAGGCUCAACCUUGGAACUGCCAUCAAAACUUUUUAGCUAGAGUGUGAUAGAGGAAAGUGGAAUUUCUAGUGUAGAGGUGAAAUUCGUAGAUAUUAGAAAGAACACCAAAUGCGAAGGCAACUUUCUGGGUCACUACUGACACUGAGGAGCGAAAGCAUGGGUAGCGAAGAGGAUUAGAUACCCUCGUAGUCCAUGCCGUAAACGAUGUGUGCUAGACGUUGGAAAUAUAUUUUUCAGUGUCGCAGCGAAAGCAUUAAGCACACCGCCUGGGGAGUACGACCGCAAGGUUAAAACUCAAAUGAAUUGACGGGGACCCGCACAAGCAGUGGAGUAUGUGGUUUAAUUCGAAGAUACGCGCAGAACCUUACCAACACUUGACAUGUCCGUCGCGAGACCAAGAGAUUGGUUUCUUCAUUUAGUUGGACGAAACACAGGUGCUGCAUGGCUGUCGUCAGCUCGUGUCGUGAGAUGUUGGGUUAAGUCCUGCACGAGCGGCAACCCCUACUUUUAGUUGCCAC
This 1019-nucleotide ribosomal RNA is filed under the name uncultured marine bacterium. RNAcentral's name for it is "bacterial SSU rRNA". It matches the Rfam family "Bacterial small subunit ribosomal RNA", at positions 57 to 1121 of the family's 1533-position model. The record is from RNAcentral.